Long non-coding RNA from Salvelinus fontinalis (brook trout), 6681 nucleotides. RefSeq lists it as uncharacterized. The transcript is spliced from 3 exons. NCBI's taxonomy places the organism in Eukaryota, Metazoa, Chordata, Actinopteri, Salmoniformes, Salmonidae. The record is from RefSeq and is a predicted model, not a curated record.
GAGCUGGCGGGUCAUCCCCACGGUGACCGUACGUACAUGUCCCAACCAGAAGCCUUGGAUUACAGGCAAAAUCCCCAUUGAGCUAAAAGCUAGAGCUGCUAUUUUCAAGGAGCGGGACACUAAUCCGGAUGCCUAUAAGAAAUCCCUCUAUGCCCUCAGACGAUCCACCAAACAAGCAAAGAGUCAAUACAGGAUUAAGAUUGAAUCCUACUACACCGGCUCUGACCCUCGUCGGAUAUGGCAGGGCUUGGAAACUAUUACGGACUACAAAUUGAAGCCCAGACGCGAGCUGCCCAGUAACGCAAGUCCACCAGAAAAGCUAAAUGCCUUUAUGCUCGCUUCGAGGCAAGCAACACUGAAGCAUGCACGAGAGCACCAGCUGUUCUAGAUGACUGUGAGAUAAUGCUCUCGGUAGCCAAUGUGAGCAAGACCAUUAAACACGUCAACAUUCACAAAGCCAUGGGGCCAGAUGGAUUACCAGGACGGGUACUCAAGGCAUGCACAGACCAACUGGCAAGUGUCUUCACUGACAUUUUCAACCUCUCCCUGACUGAGUCUGUAAUACCUACAUGUUUCAAGCAGACCACCAUAGUCCCUGUGCUCAACGAAGCGAAGGUAACCUGCCUAAAUGAUUACCGCCUGUAGCACUCAAGACGGUAGCCACGAAGUGCUUUGAAAGGCUGGUCGUGGCUCACAUCAACAGCAUACUCCCGGAUACCCUAGAUACACUCCAAUUCACAUACCGCCCCAACAGAUCCACAGAUGACGCAAUCUCAAUCCCACUCCACACUGCCGUUUCCCACCUGGACAAAAGGAACACCUAUGUGAGAAUGCUGUUCAUUGACUACAGCUCAGCGUUCAACACCAUAGUGCUACGGCGGUCAUCACUAAGCUAAGGACCCUGGGACUAAACACCUCCCUCUGCAACUGGAUUUUGGACUUCCUGACGGGUCGCGCCUCAGGUGGUAAGAGUAGGCAACAACUUGUCUGCCACGCUGAUCCUCAACACUGGGGCCCCUCAGGGGUGUGUACUUAGUUCCCCCCAUUAUCCCUGUUCACUCAUGACUGCAUGGCCAGGCACAACUCCAACACCAUCAUUCAGUUUGCCUAUGACAACAGUGGUAGGCCUGAUCACCAACAAUGACGAGACAGCAUAUAGGGAGGAGGUCAGAGACCUGACCGUGUGGUGCCAGGACAACAACCUCCCCCUCAACAUGAUCAAGACUAAGGAAAUGAUUGUGGACUACAGGAAAAGGAGGACCAAGCACUCCCCCAUUCUCAUCGAUGGGGCUGUAGUGGAGCAGGUUGAGAGCUUCAAGUUCCUUGGUGUUCACAAACCAACAAUCUAACAUGGUCCAAGCACACCAAGACAGUCGUGAAAAGGGCACGACAAAACCUAUUCCCCCUCAGGAAACAAAAGAUUUGUCAUGGGUCCUCAGAUCCUCAAAAGGUUCUACAGCUGCACCGUUGAGAGCAUCCUGACUGGUAUGGCAACUGCUCGGCCUCCGACCACAAGGCACUACAGAGGGUAGUGCGUACGGCCCAGUACAUCACUGGGGCGAAGCUUCCUGCCAUCCAGGACCUCCAUACCAGGCAGUGUCAGAGGAAAGUCCUAAAAAUUGUCAGACUCCAGCCACCCUAGUCAUAGACUGUUCUCUCUGCUACUACACGGCAAGCGGUACUGGAGUGCCAAGUCUAGGUCCAAGAGGCUUCUAAACAGCUUCUACCCCCAAGCAAUGAGACUACUGAACAUCUAAUCAAAUGGCUACCCAGACUACUUGCAUUGCUCCCCCCAUUUACACUGCUGCUACUCUGUUAUCUAUGCAUAAGUCACUUUAAUAACUCAUGUAUAUAUUACCUCGACUAACCGGUGCCUCUGCACAUUGACUCUGUACCCCCUGUAUAUAUCCUCGCUAAUGCUAUUUUACUGCGCUCUUUAAUUUGUUACUUUAUUUAAAGGAUUUUUCUUAACUGCAUUUUUCGGGGCUUAUAAGGAAGCAUUUCACUGUAAGGUCUUCACAUGUGACAAAUACAAUUUUAUUUGAAUUGAAAUGUAUUCCAGGUGACUACCUCAUGAAGCUGGUUGAGAGAAUGCCAAGUGUGUGCAAAGCUGUCAAGGCAAAGGGUGGCUAUUUCGAGGAAUCUCACAAAAUAUUUAGAGAGGGAGCGGGAGAGAGAGUGUACAGGGGGAGUAACUGCAGGUCAAGAAGACACCGGAUGAACACCAGAGGGCGUAGCAGGGAGCAGAUGUGACACAUCCAAGGGGGAGGUGUGAAAGUCACAUAAAUCAAAGCUCUGUGGGGGACAGGGAGUCCCGUGGGGACACAUACCGGCUGUAGCCCCACCUGUGGAGCCCAUGAGUGGCCCUGUGACAGCUCAUCAACAGCCCACGUCUGUGUACCAAAUGGCACCCUAUUCCAAUAUAGUGGACUACCUUUGACCAGGGCCCACUCUGGUGCACUAUAUAUGGAAUAGCGUGCCAUUUGGGAUGCACUCCUGCCCUACAGAGCUGCUGAGAGGCCAGAAACAGUGGGACUGAUACUUAAGGAUACUGAACAAUGGCUGCAACUGAGGAGAGUUGGAGUGGGGGGGGUAAAGUAUAACAGGAGUAAUCUCACAUGCUGUGGCCCAGUAUAAAAGCCUACAUGUGAAGGUCACAGAUGAUCUUAUGUAACUACUGAAGUGGGGCGAUUGAAAGACUGGAAAAUUACAAGUGGCUGUGUGUUAUGUCAUCUGGCCUUUCCCACCGUCAUCCGCCUUGCUGCCACCGUCACCCAGCCGGAUGUGUGUGUGUAUGAGAAAUGCCAGGUGUGUGUCUGUGUGUUUGACCCGUAUACGGUGCGUAUUAUUCUUUGGAAAUGGCGUGUGUGCAUAAUCACUGUGCAUUGAUGCCUGUCACAGUAGCUGUUACUCACCCUGACCCCUCUAUGCGUUUAUAGCUGUAUAUACUCACCUUCUCUAUAAUCGAUGGUGACCUUUUCCUGGAAGCAACUUGACGCCAUUCAUUGGUCCAUUACAGGAAGUCAUUAAUCACUCUAGCAGCCCCAGUAUUAAUCACUCUAGCAGUCCUAGUAGUCUACAGGUAGGAGUGACGGUAAAGAGGUUUUAAGGGUUAAACGUCACCGUCUCUUCAUUAACAUGGGGAGGCCAGUUGUGAUGUCAGUAAGAGCUGAGUCACUCUCACACACACUCUGAGGGUCCACACACACACACACAUACUGUAUAAAUCCUUUUAUUAUACCAUAAUGACCUCAAUUAUCCAGCAACACCCUUUCAGCUCGAGGGCAAAAACACAUACGCUUGCUCUAUCCCCCUGUCUCUCUCGUUCUCUCAUUCUCUCUCUCUCUCAUUCUCUCUCUCUCUCUCUCUCUCUCUCUCUCUCUCUCUCUCUCUCUCUCUCUCUCUCUCUCUCUCUCUCUCUCUCUCUGCGUGUGUAUGCCGCUUGCUUUCUCUACCUUUUUGAGUUCCCUUGACAUUUGUUAUUUUAAUUUAUCUCGCUCCGUCUACCUCACUGUUCUUUUCUCUCUCCUCUCUCUUCCUCUAAAGAACAGCGACAUCUCAGAGCUCACACCAGAGCCCUAGGAAGAUACCUGGAUUGGUACUAUGAGAGUCACACCAGAGUCCUCUACAUACCUGGAUUGGUACUAUGUAUAAGACCACGAAGCAUCCCAGUAUAGUAGCUGGGACAUGGGCCUGGUUAACAUCUGGUCUGCUGUGCUCUGUCUUACCCACUCUUCCACCACUACCUCUGGCAGGCGGGCAGGCGAGGGGGUUGGUUUUACCCAGCACAGAUAUCAGGUGUCAGCCAGGCUGACCUGCAGCAGCAGCCACAGCAACAACCAGGGCCUCUCACCAUGUCAGUGGAGAGAGAUGGAGACGUAGGGGGUCACACAGUGAGGGAGCCCUGCUGGGAUGUCUCCCACCGAGGGAGUGGAGAGACGUCAUUCAAGCUGAGCGCCAUAAUGAGAUUACAGAACCCGGUGGGCACAGCCCGGUGAUGUGGGGAAAGGGAAGAGAGAUGGGUGAGAGAGAAAGAGGAGAAAGAGGAAAAAGAUAGGAAAGAGGGGGAGGUUGAGAGAGAAGGUCGUAAAGAAACAGAGGAGGGGGGUUGAGGAUAAUGUCAUGUCACUGUCAAGGAAUGAAGAAUGAUAUGUGGGGUGAACAGCAUAAAGGGAGGAGAGGAUGAAGUGGAAUUGGAAGUGGGGGAUGAGAGAGAGUGAGAGCGAGAGAUAGAGGGGAAGUGAGGAGAGAUAUACAGAACAUUCAUGAGGAGAUUAUGAUGUGUUGUGUGGCCCACCAAGCCUGUGCUUUGGCAACAGUGACCUGCUUGCUUUGACGCACAGCUCCCAGACCCAGGAUUUUUCCCAAAUGGAACCCUAUUUCCUCUAUAGUGUGCUACUUUUGACCAGAGUUUUGACCGGGGCACAUGGGGCUCUGGUCAAACGUAGUGCUCUACUGUAUGUAGGGAAUAGGGUGCCAUUUGGGAUGAAGACCCUGUCUGCCCUGGAUAACUAGAGGAAUGAGAUCCACAGGGUCAAACACGAACACAUCAAGAGAGCAACUUCAUGGAAAACAGAGAAGUGCUACUGAUGUUGUGUGACACCAUAAACAGAGAGGAGCAAAGGUUCAGGCUAUGGCCAAGGUUGGCUGGUCUAGAUCUAGAGAGGAUCCACUGGUAACAAACUGGUUAAAUCAACAUCGUUUCAACUUCAUUUGUCAACGUAUUGUGACCUGUUGUCUACGUGGAAAAUACAUUGGAUUUGAAAAAAAGUCGUCGGCGUAAACUGUUGUUUUGAAGGUGAGAUUUCAACCACAGGAUUAUGUGAUCAUGGUAACCAAUAUUCAACAUAGACAAACCUUGUAUAAAAUAUGUUUAAUUUUCACCUUUGAAACAACGUCAUCUUCGAUGUAAUAUCCACUAUAAGAUAGAAAGCAGUAGUCUGGGCAGCACCUCCUGCUGGAGAGCACCUUAGAGGCUGCUGUCCUAUGAACAUGGACUUGAAAUCACUCGCCACUUUAACCAAGGAACACUAGUCAUUUAAAUAAUGUUUACAUAUUUUGCAUUACUCAUCUUAUAUGUAUAUACUGUAUUCUAUACUUUUCUACUGUACCAUAGUCUAUGCCGCUCUGACAUUGCUUGUCCAAAUAUUUAUACAUUCUUAAUUCCAUUUUUACUUUAGAUUGGUGUGUAUUGUUGUGAAAUUGUUAGAUAUUACUGCACUGUUGGAGCUCGAAACGCAAGCAUUUCGCUACGUCCGCAAUAACAUCUGCAUGUGACCAAUAACAUUGGAUUUGAUUUGAUCUACAGCUAUCUCGUAGUUCUCCUAUCCAGACUUUUUUAACCAAGCCCAACACUGCAUAGCUUUAAUAGUUGUCACUGUCUAUUACCAAUGUGCACUAGUAAUAACUAUGUCAGAUUCACUUCUCCAUUCAACCAAAAAUAAACGUUAAAGAAUAGAGAUGAAGUCAAAUCAAACUGUAUUUCGAUUUUUGGCUGAAAUGAAAACGGGAAUCCAACAUAUCAAUUGUUAAUUAAUUUGUAGUCAAGCUGGAAUUAAAGCCAAGCUCAGUGGCACCGAUGGGGCUAUCCAUGCAGAAGAUACAUCUCCUUCUUAAGUUGAUAUUGGGUUGCGUUGUCUACCGAACACAAUUCAAUAUGACUUUUGUGUGACAGCAAAUAGCCUAAUGUGAAGGCUAUCUUACCAACUAAUGUAACACUAUUUCUUCAACCUUAAAAUGAGUGGCCACAUUUUGAGGUUACUGUAACAAUAAAUGUCUUCUUAUGUAAUCAUAGAAAGCGUGUAUGUUCAGGUUUGCAGGUCUGUGGAAACCUUCCCAAUUGCUGUAAUAAUCUGCAUAGACUCUCAAACAGCAUUGAUCCCUUGCACUAUGUACUUUAAUGUGAUCUCAACUAACUGCAGUCCAGGUCAUUUGGUCAUGCUGUUAGAUCAAACACAGUGAUAACCCAUUCACUUGUUGUAGAAAUAAACAAAACAUCUAACAUUUUAUUCCCAUUUGAACUUGAAUGUGCUUUUAAACGGUUGAAAGCGCAGUGAUAAGACAUACAACUGAACCAAAUAUCAGACAUUGAUCUUUUCCUUGGAAUUUGGUUGUAAUUUUAGAUCAGGGGUUCUCAAACCUUUUGGGGCCGGGGACCCCUUCUGUGUUAGCAAAUUCAUCACAGACCCGUUCGUAAUCAGAACACAACUCGAGUGCGUUAACAACAGCCUACAAAAGGUUUUACUAUGACGUCUGCAUUACAUGGCAGGAUGAACCAAGUCUCGGGCCCAGGGAAAGAACAUUUAGAAGGCCUGCUUCUUGGCAUCAGAGGGAACGUUCAGAAGUUUUCAAUCUAAUUUCCUGUAAUUCUACACAUUUUGUCAUGGGACAGAUAUUUGUUUUACUGUUGCAGCUCUAAAGCUAAUAUCCUGCAAUUCAACACAGAGAGACAACUUUGCAGUUUUAAAUUACAGUGCAUUUAUGUCAAAUAAAAACAAUUUGGGGGGGGGGUAGUACUGAAUAGAAAAAUGUACAAUUGGUGGAGUACUGUGGAUACCAAUAACACUGUGUCUCCCAAGCCUAUGUUGCCCAGUAUUAAGAACAUACAUUGUAAGCAUUUCACUGUUAGUCUACACCUGUUGUUUACGAAGCACGUGACAAAUAAAAUUGGAUUUGAUUUGA